UACGAAGGGGGCUAGCGUUGCUCGGAAUCAUUGGGCGUAAAGAGCUCGUAGGCGGCUCAGUAAGUCGGGUGUGAAACCCUCAGGCUCAACCUGGGGACGCCACCCGAUACUGCUGUGGCUAGAGUCCAGUAGGGGAGUGUGGAAUUCCCGGUGUAGCGGUGAAAUGCGCAGAUAUCGGGAGGAACACCAGCGGCGAAGGCGGCACUCUGGGCUGGUACUGACGCUGAGGAGCGAAAGCGUGGGUAGCAAACAGG
RNAcentral lists this ribosomal RNA (254 nucleotides) under uncultured bacterium. RNAcentral describes it as "partial 16S ribosomal RNA". It matches the Rfam family "Bacterial small subunit ribosomal RNA", at positions 524 to 776 of the family's 1533-position model. The record is from RNAcentral.